RNAcentral lists this ribosomal RNA (138 nucleotides) under uncultured eukaryote. RNAcentral describes it as "partial 18S ribosomal RNA". It matches the Rfam family "Eukaryotic small subunit ribosomal RNA", at positions 1299 to 1458 of the family's 1831-position model. The record is from RNAcentral.
UGGUGGAAUGAUUUGUCUGGUUAAUUCCGUUAACGAACGAGACCUCAGCCUGCUAACUAGUUUUACUAAUCUUUGAUUGGUGUAGACUUCUUAGAGGGACUAUUAAUGAUUAACCAGUGGAAGUUUGAGGCAAUAACA